Molecule: ribosomal RNA, 373 nt
Filed under: uncultured organism
Description: partial 16S ribosomal RNA
Rfam family: Bacterial small subunit ribosomal RNA
Source: RNAcentral
GUAGGUGGCAAGCGUUGUCCGGAAUUAUUGGGCGUAAAGCGCGCGCAGGCGGUCCUUUAAGUCUGAUGUGAAAGCCCACGGCUCAACCGUGGAGGGUCAUUGGAAACUGGGGGACUUGAGUACAGAAGAGGAAAGCGGAAUUCCAAGUGUAGCGGUGAAAUGCGUAGAGAUUUGGAGGAACACCAGUGGCGAAGGCGGCUUUCUGGUCUGUAACUGACGCUGAGGCGCGUAAGCGUGGGGAGCAAACAGGAUUAGAUACCCUGGUAGUCCACGCCGUAAACGAUGAGUGCUAAGUGUUAGGGGGUUUCCCGCCCCCUUAGUGCUGCAGCUAACGCAUUAAGCACUCCGCCUGGGGAGUACGGCCGCAAGGCUG